This 445-nucleotide ribosomal RNA is filed under the name uncultured bacterium. RNAcentral's name for it is "partial 16S ribosomal RNA". It matches the Rfam family "Bacterial small subunit ribosomal RNA", at positions 354 to 796 of the family's 1533-position model. The record is from RNAcentral.
GUGAGGAAUAUUGGUCAAUGGACGGAAGUCUGAACCAGCCAUGCCGCGUGCAGGAAUAAGGUCCUAUGGAUUGUAAACUGCUUUUAUUCGGGAAUAAACCUCUUUACGUGUAGGGAGCUGAAGGUACCGAAGGAAUAAGCACCGGCUAACUCCGUGCCAGCAGCCGCGGUAAUACGGAGGGUGCAAGCGUUAUCCGGAAUCAUUGGGUUUAAAGGGUCCGCAGGCGGGCUAUCAAGUCAGAGGUGAAAUCCCACAGCUUAACUGUGGAACUGCCUUUGAAACUGAUGGUCUUGAAUUAAGUGGGCGUUGGCGGAAUAUGACAUGUAGCGGUGAAAUGCAUAGAUAUGUCAUGGAACACCGAAAGCGAAGGCAGCUAACGAUACUUAUAUUGACGCUCAUGGACGAAAGCGUGGGUAGCGAACAGGAUUAGAUACCCCGGUAGUCC